UCCGGUUUGACACCGGCAGUCCCCUUAGAGUCCCCGGCAUAACCCGCUGGUAACUAAGGGCAAAGGUUUCGCUCGUUAUGGGACUUAACCCGACAUCUCACGACACGAGCUGACGACAGCCAUGCAGCACCUGUGCCUGUUGUACCCCGAAGGGCCUACCCGACUUUCAUCGGGAUAAUCCAGGCAUGUCAAGCCCAGGUAAGGUUCUGCGCGUUGCUUCGAAUUGAACCACAUGCUCCACCGCUUGUGUGAGCCCCCGUCAAUUCCUUUGAGUUUUAGCCUUGCGACCGUACUUCCCAGGCGGUCCACUUAGCACUUUUGCUUCGACCGCAAAGCCGUCAGAGGCACUGCGAUCUAGUGGACAUCGUUUAGGGCCAGGACUAC
Molecule: unclassified non-coding RNA, 384 nt
Filed under: uncultured Tepidisphaerales bacterium
Lineage: Bacteria; Pseudomonadati; Planctomycetota; Phycisphaerae; Tepidisphaerales
Description: contains 16S-23S intergenic spacer region
Source: RNAcentral